CAGUCGAACGAAGCACUUAAGACGGAUUACUUCGGUUUGAAGUCUUAUUUGACUGAGUGGCGGACGGGUGAGUAACGCGUGGGUAACCUGCCUCAUACAGGGGGAUAACAGUUAGAAAUGACUGCUAAUACCGCAUAAGCGCACGGUCUCGCAUGGGACGGUGUGAAAAACUCCGGUGGUAUGAGAUGGACCCGCGUCUGAUUAGCUGGUUGGUGAGGUAAGGGCUCACCAAGGCGACGAUCAGUAGCCGGCCUGAGAGGGUGAACGGCCACAUUGGGACUGAGACACGGCCCAAACUCCUACGGGAGGCAGCAGUGGGGAAUAUUGCACAAUGGGGGAAACCCUGAUGCAGCGACGCCGCGUGAAGGAAGAAGUAUUUCGGUAUGUAGACUUCUAUCAGCAGGGAAGAAAAUGACGGUACCUGACUAAGAAGCCCCGGCUAACUACGUGCCAGCAGCCGCGGUAAUACGUAGGGGGCAAGCGUUAUCCGGAUUUACUGGGUGUAAAGGGAGCGUAGGCGGUUCAGCAAGUCAGAAGUGAAAGCCCGGGGCUCAACUCCGGGACUGCUUUUGAAACUGUUGAACUAGAUUGCAGGAGAGGUAAGUGGAAUUCCUAGUGUAGCGGUGAAAUGCGUAGAUAUUAGGAGGAACACCAGUGGCGAAGGCGGCUUACUGGACUGUAAAUGACGCUGAGGCUCGAAAGCGUGGGGAGCAAACAGGAUUAGAUACC
Molecule: ribosomal RNA, 729 nt
Filed under: uncultured bacterium
Lineage: Bacteria
Description: bacterial SSU rRNA
Rfam family: Bacterial small subunit ribosomal RNA
Source: RNAcentral